This 426-nucleotide ribosomal RNA is filed under the name uncultured bacterium. Its description in RNAcentral is "bacterial SSU rRNA". It matches the Rfam family "Bacterial small subunit ribosomal RNA", at positions 355 to 775 of the family's 1533-position model. The record is from RNAcentral.
UGAGGAAUAUUCCACAAUGGGCGAAAGCCUGAUGGAGCGACGCCGCGUGCGGGAUGAAGCCCUUUGGGGUGUAAACCGCUUUUUUGGGGGAUGAUACGCACAGGAGAGAUACCUGUGCUAAGACAGUACCCCAAGAAUAAGCAUCGGCUAACUACGUGCCAGCAGCCGCGGUAAUACGUAGGAUGCAAGCGUUGUCCGGAUUUACUGGGCGUAAAGCGCGCGCAGGCGGCACUCUAAGUACGUCGUGAAAUAUCCCGGCUCAACCGGGAGGGUGCGAUGUAGACUAGGGAGCUAGAGGUCGGUAGAGGGGGGUGGAAUUGCUGGUGUAGCGGUGAAAUGCGUAGAGAUCAGCAGGAACACCCGUGGCGAAGGCGGCCCCCUGGGCCGUACCUGACGCUGAGGCGCGAAGGCUAGGGGAGCGAACGG